UAAAACCAGCUCUUCGAGUGGUGUCCAUGAUUAUUGAGCUUAAAGCGUUCGUAGCCUGCUUGGUAGGUCCCUGCUUAAAUCCGGUCGCUCAACGGUCGGUCUGGUAGGGAUACCGCCUUGCUUGGGGACGGGAGACGGCAACGGUAUUCCAUAGGUAAGGGUGAAAUCUAAUGAUCUAUGGAGGACCACCAGUGGCGAAGGCGGUUGCCGAGAACGUGCCCGACGGUGAGGGACGAAACCCAGGGGAGCAAAUCGGAUUAGAUACCCGAGUAGUCCUGGGCGUAAACGAUGCCCGUUAAGUGUUGCAUUGGCCACGAGCCACUGCGGUGCUGUAGCGAAAGCGAUAAACGGGCCGCUUGGGAAGUACGGUCGCAAGACUG
RNAcentral lists this ribosomal RNA (380 nucleotides) under uncultured archaeon. Its description in RNAcentral is "bacterial SSU rRNA". It matches the Rfam family "Archaeal small subunit ribosomal RNA", at positions 471 to 851 of the family's 1478-position model. The record is from RNAcentral.